AGCAGUAGCCGCGGUAAAACGUAGGUGGCAAGCGUUGUCCGGAAUUAUUGGGCGUAAAGGGCUCGCAGGCGGUUUCUUAAGUCUGAUGUGAAAGCCCCCGGCUCAACCGGGGAGGGUCAUUGGAAACUGGGAAACUUGAGUGCAGAAGAGGAGAGUGGAAUUCCACGUGUAGCGGUGAAAUGCGUAGAGAUGUGGAGGAACACCAGUGGCGAAGGCGACUCUCUGGUCUGUAACUGACGCUGAGGAGCGAAAGCGUGGGGAGCGAACAGGAUUAGAGACCCGUGUAGUCCCUGUCUCUUAUAA
This 303-nucleotide ribosomal RNA is filed under the name uncultured bacterium. RNAcentral describes it as "partial 16S ribosomal RNA". It matches the Rfam family "Bacterial small subunit ribosomal RNA", at positions 507 to 809 of the family's 1533-position model. The record is from RNAcentral.